This 240-nucleotide long non-coding RNA is filed under the name Ananas comosus (pineapple). RNAcentral describes it as "long non-coding RNA (ACOM_LNC038426)". The record is from RNAcentral. Lineage: Eukaryota; Viridiplantae; Streptophyta; Magnoliopsida; Poales; Bromeliaceae.
AAUUUUUAUUUAAAAAAUAAAAUUUUAUUUUAUUUUUAAAAAAAUAUGAUGGAAUGUGUGAAUUUAAUUCAAAAGUAAAUUUGAUUGACUAGAAACAUAAAUGAUGUUGUAGAAUGCAAUGGAAGUAUUCGUUCACUCUUUUUGCGUAAGUGACGCGCUAGAACGCGAUAAGUUCGGAUCGUAGAGAUUGAUUCACAUAUUCUCGCAUUGUUCACGAAGGUCUUCUAAUGUUUCAAACCC